RNAcentral lists this ribosomal RNA (495 nucleotides) under uncultured bacterium. Its description in RNAcentral is "bacterial SSU rRNA". It matches the Rfam family "Bacterial small subunit ribosomal RNA", at positions 903 to 1397 of the family's 1533-position model. The record is from RNAcentral.
AAAGGAAUAGACGGGGACCCGCACAAGCGGUGGAGGAUGUGGUUUAAUUCGACGCAACGCGAAGAACCUUACCAAGGCUUGACAUCCAUAGAAUUUUAUAGAAAUAUGAGAGUGCCCGCAAGGGAGCUAUGAGACAGGUGGUGCAUGGCUGUCGUCAGCUCGUGUCGUGAGAUGUUGGGUUAAGUCCCGCAACGAGCGCAACCCUCGGCAUUAGUUACCAUCAUUAAGUUGGGUACUUUAAUGCGACUGCCUGUGAUAAGCAGGAGGAAGGUGGGGAUGACGUCAAGUCAUCAUGCCCCUUACGUCUUGGGCUACACACGUCCUACAAUGGUACAGACAAACAGAUGCGAGCUAGCAAUAGUAAGCGAACCUGACAAACUGUAUCUCAGUUCGGAUUGUAGGCUGCAACUCGCCUACAUGAAGUUGGAAUCGCUAGUAACCGUAGAUCAGCAUGCUACGGUGAAUACGUUCCCGGGUCUUGUACACACCGCCCGU